CAGCGGCGGACGGGUGAGUAACACGUGGGUAACCUGCCGUUGGAAUGGGGAUAACGCCUGGAAACGGGUGCUAAUCCCGAAUGGUUUCCUUUGCCGCAUGGCAGAGGAAGGAAAGGCGCUACGGCGCCGUCCAACGAGGGGCCCGCGGCGCAUUAGCUAGUUGGUGGGGUAAUGGCCUACCAAGGCCGCGAUGCGUAGCCGACCUGAGAGGGUGACCGGCCACACUGGGACUGAGACACGGCCCAGACUCCUACGGGAGGCAGCAGUAGGGAAUCUUCCGCAAUGGGCGAAAGCCUGACGGAGCAACGCCGCGUGAGUGAUGACGGUCUUCGGAUUGUAAAGCUCUGUCAAUUGGGACGAGAGACGGCGAGAGGGAAUGUUCGCCGUGAGACGGUACCGAUGGAGGAAGCCCCGGCUAACUACGUGCCAGCAGCCGCGGUAAUACGUAGGGGGCAAGCGUUGUCCGGAAUGACUGGGCGUAAAGCGCGCGCAGGCGGUUUGUCGCGUCUGAGUGAAAGACCAGGGCUCAACCCU
RNAcentral lists this ribosomal RNA (534 nucleotides) under uncultured bacterium. RNAcentral's name for it is "bacterial SSU rRNA". It matches the Rfam family "Bacterial small subunit ribosomal RNA", at positions 93 to 616 of the family's 1533-position model. The record is from RNAcentral.